GACGAACGCUGGCGGCGUGCUUAACACAUGCAAGCCGAACGGAAAGGCCCUGCUUGCAGGGUACUCGAGUGGCGAACGGGUGAGUAACACGUGGGUGAUCUGCCCUGCACUUCGGGAUAAGCCUGGGAAACUGGGUCUAAUACCGGAUAGGAGCCAUUUUUAGUGUGAUGGUUGGAAAGUUUUUUUCGGUGUAGGAUGAGCUCGCGGCCUAUCAGCUUGUUGGUGGGGUAAUGGCCUACCAAGGCGGCGACGGGUAGCCGGCCUGAGAGGGUGGACGGCCACAUUGGGACUGAGAUACGGCCCAGACUCCUACGGGAGGCAGCAGUGGGGAAUAUUGCACAAUGGGCGCAAGCCUGAUGCAGCGACGCCGCGUGGGGGAUGACGGCCUUCGGGUUGUAAACUCCUUUCGCUAGGGACGAAGCUUUUUGUGACGGUACCUAGAUAAGAAGCACCGGCUAACUACGUG
Molecule: ribosomal RNA, 466 nt
Filed under: uncultured bacterium
Lineage: Bacteria
Description: partial 16S ribosomal RNA
Rfam family: Bacterial small subunit ribosomal RNA
Source: RNAcentral